CCUGGAGAUAAUGAAUCCUGCAAGUCUGUUUUAUGCUAUAUAACGGGCGUUAUUUUUCCGUCUACGAACCGUUAUUUUGGGGGUAGCAGCCCUUCGCUGAUCCUAUAAAUUCCCGGUGUCCAGAACGUUCCAUCCCACCAGGCGAAAACUAGGGUUUUGAGAUGGCGGCUGGGAUGCAUAGUUCCAUGGCUGGUUCCUCGUCCUCACAAUCUUUCUUUUCUCCCAAUGAAAAGUGAGGCAGAAUGUCAUGUAUCGGUGUUUAUGCUCUUGUACGUGCAUUGUCAUUGAGUGUUCCCUGCCAAAAGCGAUCUUUUGAGCGAAAGGAACAUCGGGAAAACCUAAUUUUUCAUUGGGUGUCGCGACAAUUGCUUCUGCUCACAUCCUCUCCAUGAACAGCGAGAAUUCGCGUUUGUUGAUCUAUGAGGCAGGUUAGUGUGUAUCACCGAAAGUUUUUCCAGCAAAAGCGAUUUAUGGGGUAAAUUGACAUCGACAAACCUUCAUUUUUUUGGAUGUCUCGACAAUUUAUUUUCCUCAAAUGCCUGUCAAAAACAGGUUUUCAUUGAAAUUAAUCGUUUCCUUUGCCGUAUUCUAGCUAUUGGUGUUCCGGUUUUCUUUGAAUCUUCAGAUCUCACACAUUUGUUCUCAAAGCCCGAUGAUGGAAAAUACAUAUGAAUUUAGAGGCAGUUAUGGCUAUCUAAUGUUGUUAACCGACCCAUGCUAUUUUAUCACCUCCAUUCUCAUCGUAACCUCCGUUACCGCCGCCGCCUCCUCCUCCUCUUCCUCCUCCAUCAACUACGUUUGACGUUCUCACUUUCAAUGCAUGUGAAGGCGAGCUACAUGAGAUGCCAUAAACUAAUCCUCGAUGAUUGCUAAAAGCUAUGAGAUCUGAGGGCUUUUGUGUGUCAAAAUGUUUAGGGUUUAGGGUCUUGGAUUAAGUUUUCAAUGGAUGCUCUGUUUGCCGUCUUCAGUUCUGACGUUUUUCCACAAAAAUUGCUAUUUGAGCAUGCUGAUAGUGUUCAUUAGGCAAAGUUUCUAACUGUUCUUAUUUGAUUCUUAAUUUAUGAUGAAUGCAUCUGGGCUUAAUCUUUUUGAAACUUUUAGUAUUAGAUUUAAAUACACUUCUGGUAUCCUAUAUACAUGAAUUUGUACACUCUUAUAAAUUCUCUCAUCCAACUGGCCCUUGUUAAAAAAACUACUUCUAAUGUCCUAUAUACAUGAAUUUCUAGACUCUUGUAAAUUCUCUAGCAAUCCAACUGGCUCUUGUUGAACAAGCUACUAUUAUGUGUCCUCCCCAUACAAGAUGAAUCAAAGAUGACAAAGUAGUAGUCAUCCUUGCUAUAGUAUUGGCCAUAAACUCGAAGGAUCUGUCUAUAGCUGGACAUCUCCUGUGUUCUUAAAUCUAUGCUUUCAUAAAUCUGUGAUAGUUAGAUAUUUAUAAAUAGUACACUAUUGAUCUAGAUUGUUGACUUUUAAAAAAUAGAUAAUAACUCUAGGUAAUAAAUUUUUAACAUAUUAUCUAGCUUAGCUUUUUGUUUGAGAUAGUUGCAAGGAUCAUAAUGUGAAUUAUUUUUUUAUUACUCAAAUAUAUAUAUUUUUUAUUUUUUUGUAAAAUGUGGAUUUACUGGAGGCGAACUAGAAGAUAAAUUUAGUUAUUAUUUGGAUCCGAACAGGACAACUAACAAUUCAAGUUAGUUUGCUGGAUUGCGAUCUGUUGAAGGAGGAUAAGAUUGGUCACAUAUUAGAUUUUGCUCGUUUGUGAGAUUAGUAGGGAAGAGUUUAUAUGGAUACUAUUUUGUUUAUAUCUCAGAUAUAUGUUACCUGUUGAUUUAAAAACUUAUGGUUAUUUUUGACCGAGAUUACUUGAAAUGAUUUGGUUUUGAAUUUUGAUAUUUGAAUUUAGAUAAAACUUUAGUAAUGGGGAUCCAAACAAUAUAACUAUUCUUUCAAGCCACUUUCCAGGAUUGAGGUCUGUCCAGAAGAAGGUUGAUGUACAUGUAUUAAAUCUCACUCGAUGUUAAAAUGGUGUCGGAAAGAGUUGAUAUGCAUACUAAAGGAGUAAAGGUGGAGUAUGAGCACCUGGACGGUGCCGAGUCCUUAAAUCAUCGACGAGGAUUUGGCCGGCGGCGCCGCACACGGCCGUUCUAAGUCAACAAGUACACUGGUACAAAAAUGUCGUCCAGUAAAGAAGAAAAAGGUCAUAAUAAUGGAGACUCAUUCAUGGGUCGUCUUCUUUUCUGGGAAAAGCUCACAUCCCACUCUACACCACACAGCUCGACUGCUGCCUCCAGAAGCUGAGCAUCCGAAAACAAAAAUAAUAUAAUUCAUCUUCAGUAUCACCGGUCCCAUAUAACUAUGAGAUAUAUGUUAUCCUAAUAAAGGUCUUUUGUAUAGGAAAUAUUAGACAUUAAUAAGGCAUUUUGCCUUGAUGGCGUGGGAAAUGGGACCUACGCUAUAUCAAAAACAGAGGAAGAAUUCUAAAAUUUACAAGUACCAUUGUACCAUGCUUCAAUAAACAUGAUGUAAACAUUUCAAUAACAUAAAUAUCGCACUUAAAUGUAAUUGUACUUUACAA
Molecule: long non-coding RNA, 2572 nt
Organism: Zingiber officinale
Lineage: Eukaryota; Viridiplantae; Streptophyta; Magnoliopsida; Zingiberales; Zingiberaceae
Exons: 4
Source: RefSeq, a predicted model, not a curated record